Molecule: ribosomal RNA, 460 nt
Filed under: uncultured bacterium
Lineage: Bacteria
Description: partial 16S ribosomal RNA
Rfam family: Bacterial small subunit ribosomal RNA
Source: RNAcentral
CCUACGGGUGGCAGCAGUGAGGAAUAUUGGUCAAUGGGCGCGAGCCUGAACCAGCCAAGUCGCGUGAAGGAUGACUGCCCUACGGGUUGUAAACUUCUUUUAUAAAGGAAUAAUGUGUGGUACGUGUGCCUUUUUGUAUGUACUUUAUGAAUAAGCAUCGGCUAACUCCGUGCCAGCAGCCGCGGUAAUACGGAGGAUCCGAGCGUUAUCCGGAUUUAUUGGGUUUAAAGGGAGCGUAGUUGGGUUGUUAAGUCAGUUGUGAAAGUUUGCGGCUCAACCGUAAAAUUGCAAUUGAUACUGGCAGCCUUGAGUACAGUUGAGGUAGGCGGAAUUCGUGGUGUAGCGGUGAAAUGCUUAGAUAUCACGUAGAACUCCGAUUGCGAAGGCAGCCUACUAAACUGCGACUGACAUUGAUGCUCGAGAGUGUGGGUAUCAAACAGGAUUAGAUACCCUUGUAGUC